UGAGGAAUUUUGCGCAAUGGGGGAAACCCUGACGCAGCAACGCCGCGUGAGUGAUGAAGGCCUUCGGGUCGUAAAGCUCUGUCUGGUGGGAAGAACCUCCGGGUCCGGACAACGGAUUAGGACUGACGGUACCACCGAAGGAAGCACCGGCUAACUCCGUGCCAGCAGCCGCGGUAAUACGGAGGGUGCGAGCGUUAUUCGGAAUUAUUGGGCGUAAAGGGCGCGUAGGCGGUUUUGUAAGUCAGAUGUGAAAGCCCGGGGCUUACCCCUGGAAGUGCAUUUGAAACUACGAGACUUGAGUAUGGGAGAGGGAAGCGGAAUUCCUGGUGUAGAGGUGAAAUUCGUAGAUAUCAGGAGGAACACCGGUGGCGAAGGCGGCUUCCUGGACCAAUACUGACGCUGAGGCGCGAAGGCGUGGGGAGCAAACA
RNAcentral lists this ribosomal RNA (428 nucleotides) under uncultured bacterium. RNAcentral's name for it is "bacterial SSU rRNA". It matches the Rfam family "Bacterial small subunit ribosomal RNA", at positions 355 to 774 of the family's 1533-position model. The record is from RNAcentral.